This 52-nucleotide transfer RNA is filed under the name Ornithodoros coriaceus. RNAcentral's name for it is "tRNA-Ser". Lineage: Eukaryota; Metazoa; Arthropoda; Arachnida; Ixodida; Argasidae. The record is from RNAcentral.
AAGGCUAACUUCAAGGCUGCUAACCUUAAAAUAAUGUAUUCAUUUGGCCUUU